AGCACUUGUGCUUUAUGCCAACAAGGUAUGGAGAACAGAGAUCAUCUUUUCUUUUCCUGUCCCUUUGUUAGGCAACUGAGGCAUCAAACAAUGUUAUGGAUUGGAGUAACUCAGCCUAAUUAUCAGAACUGGGAGCAGUUUAUUCACUGGAUCAUUGCCAAAGCUAAAGGGAAAACUAGUCGAGCUCACAUUGUCAAAAUGAUUAUA
RNAcentral lists this long non-coding RNA (207 nucleotides) under Nicotiana benthamiana. RNAcentral describes it as "long non-coding RNA (NBEN_LNC037089)". Lineage: Eukaryota; Viridiplantae; Streptophyta; Magnoliopsida; Solanales; Solanaceae. The record is from RNAcentral.